UACAGAGGUGGCAAGCGUUGUUCGGAAUUACUGGGCGUAAAGCGUGCGCAGGCGGUGAUGUAAGACAGAUGUGAAAUCCCCGGGCUCAACCUGGGAACUGCAUUUGUGACUGCAUAGCUGGAGUGCGGCAGAGGGGGAUGGAAUUCCGCGUGUAGCAGUGAAAUGCGUAGAUAUGCGGAGGAACACCGAUGGCGAAGGCGGCAUCCUGGACCAACACUGACACUGAUGAGCGAAAGCCAGGGGAGCAAACGGG
RNAcentral lists this ribosomal RNA (253 nucleotides) under uncultured bacterium. RNAcentral's name for it is "partial 16S ribosomal RNA". It matches the Rfam family "Bacterial small subunit ribosomal RNA", at positions 524 to 776 of the family's 1533-position model. The record is from RNAcentral.